UAAGGAAUAUUGCACAAUGGGGGAAACCCUGAUGCAGCAACGCCGCGUGGGUGAUGAAGGCCUUCGGGUCGUAAAACCCUUUUCUGGGGGAUGAGGAAGGACAGUACCCCAGGAAUAAGCUUCGGCUAACUACGUGCCAGCAGCCGCGGUAAGACGUAGGAGGCGAGCGUUAUCCGGAUUUAUUGGGCGUAAAGGGCAAGUAGGCGGUUGGGCAAGUUGUGCGUGACAAAACCCGGCUUAACUGGGUGGGGUCGUACAAUACUGUCUGACUAGAGGGCAGGAGAGGGAAGCGGAACUCCUAAUGUAGCGGUGGAAUGCUCAGAUAUUAGGAAGAACACCAGUGGCGAAAGCGGCUUUCUGGCCUGUACCUGACGCUGAGAGGCGAAAGCUAGGGGAGCGAACGG
This 404-nucleotide ribosomal RNA is filed under the name uncultured bacterium. Its description in RNAcentral is "bacterial SSU rRNA". It matches the Rfam family "Bacterial small subunit ribosomal RNA", at positions 355 to 775 of the family's 1533-position model. The record is from RNAcentral.